This 51-nucleotide small RNA is filed under the name Arabidopsis thaliana (thale cress). RNAcentral describes it as "ATSL227180". The record is from RNAcentral. Lineage: Eukaryota; Viridiplantae; Streptophyta; Magnoliopsida; Brassicales; Brassicaceae.
ACAAGAAUAUUCUAUCGACGGCCAUUACAAACGAAGGAGAAUUUAUCUUGA